GGACCCGCACAAGCGGUGGAGCAUGUGGUUUAAUUCGAUGCAACGCGAAAAACCUUACCUAUACUUGACAUACUUGGAAUGCUUUGUAAUGAAGCAGUGCCUUCGGGAGCCAGGAUACAGGUGCUGCAUGGCUGUCGUCAGCUCGUGUCGUGAGAUGUUCCGUUAAGUCGGAUAACGAGCGCAACCCUUACCCUUAUUUGCCAGCGAUUCGGUCGGGAACUAUAAGGGGACUGCCGGUGAUAAACCGGAGGAAGGUGAGGACGACGUCAAGUCAUCAUGGCCCUUACGUAUAGGGCUACACACGUGCUACAAUGGGGAAUACAGACGGACGCUAAGCCGCGAGGUGGUGCUAA
Molecule: ribosomal RNA, 353 nt
Filed under: uncultured bacterium
Lineage: Bacteria
Description: bacterial SSU rRNA
Rfam family: Bacterial small subunit ribosomal RNA
Source: RNAcentral